UCCAUAGCUGGUUUGAGAGGAUGAUCAGCCACACUGGGGACUGAGACACGGCCCAGACUCCUACGGGAGGCAGCAGUGGGGAAUCUUGGACAAUGGGGGAAACCCUGAUCCAGCCAUGCCGCGUGAUCGAUGAAGGCCUUAGGGUUGUAAAGAUCUUUCAGCUGGGAAGAUAAUGACGGUACCAGCAGAAGAAGCCCGGCUAACUCCGUGCCAGCAGCCGCGGUAAUACGGAGGGGGCUAGCGUUGUUCGGAAUUACUGGGCGUAAAGCGCACGUAGGCGGAUCAGUCAGUCAGGGGUGAAAUCCCGGGGCUCAACCCCGGAACUGCCUUUGAUACUGCUGGUCUUGAGGUCG
RNAcentral lists this ribosomal RNA (353 nucleotides) under Amaricoccus sp. HAR-UPW-R2A-40. Its description in RNAcentral is "Bacterial small subunit ribosomal RNA". It matches the Rfam family "Bacterial small subunit ribosomal RNA", at positions 280 to 650 of the family's 1533-position model. Lineage: Bacteria; Pseudomonadati; Pseudomonadota; Alphaproteobacteria; Rhodobacterales; Paracoccaceae. The record is from Rfam by way of RNAcentral.